CAGAGAUGGAUUGGUGCCUUCGGGAACUCUGAGACAGGUGCUGCAUGGCUGUCGUCAGCUCGUGUUGUGAAAUGUUGGGUUAAGUCCCGCAACGAGCGCAACCCUUAUCCUUUGUUGCCAGCGGUUAGGCCGGGAACUCAAAGGAGACUGCCAGUGAUAAACUGGAGGAAGGUGGGGAUGACGUCAAGUCAUCAUGGCCCUUACGAGUAGGGCUACACACGUGCUACAAUGGCGCAUACAAAGAGAAGCGACCUCGCGAGAGCAAGCGGACCUCAUAAAGUGCGUCGUAGUCCGGAUUGGAGUCUGCAACUCGACUCCAUGAAGUCGGAAUCGCU
RNAcentral lists this ribosomal RNA (335 nucleotides) under Cedecea sp. JC58. RNAcentral describes it as "bacterial SSU rRNA". It matches the Rfam family "Bacterial small subunit ribosomal RNA", at positions 1001 to 1336 of the family's 1533-position model. Lineage: Bacteria; Pseudomonadati; Pseudomonadota; Gammaproteobacteria; Enterobacterales; Enterobacteriaceae. The record is from RNAcentral.